Non-coding RNA from Zootermopsis nevadensis, 2426 nucleotides. NCBI's taxonomy places the organism in Eukaryota, Metazoa, Arthropoda, Insecta, Blattodea, Termopsidae. The record is from RefSeq and is a predicted model, not a curated record.
GUGUGGAAGCACGGUGAACCCCAGUUACUGCACGUGCAACUGUGUUCAAUUGGGUGACAGGCUUCGCAUGUGACAACGAAACAGUGAAAAAGGGAUCCAGCAGUUGUCGUCCCAGAACAUGAAGAACUCCGCAAAUUAUUCAAAGACUGUCGGAACUGAUCCCCUGCGUGGUCACCGAUUCCCCUAUAGUGACGCCUUACAUGAUGCUGUCAAGAAUGGGUACGGGACACCCCCAAACAAUGGUGCUACAUCACAGUAGCGCAGAGUAUCAUGUUAAAUUUAGUUCAGCCGCACAUUCUCUAAUAGAUUUGUUGUGGCAAAGUACCAGGAAACAUGAAGUUAUACUUUCCCACUGUGAAUGUAGGAAGUUUGUAAUCUGGCAGUAACACACGAUUUUGUUGUUCACGGGGACCUAGGUUUGUGUCCUGUUUGCAGAUAUUUUACUCUGCAGUGAAAUUUCAGAAUGUGCUGAAUUUGAGGUUGUCGCUGUGGUUUGCAGCCUGUGUGAGAUUGCAGAAGCCCUGUGCCAGUGUAAUGUUUGUCAUUCUGCACUUUGAGAGUGUGCAUUCUGUCUCAUAAAUGAAAUUCUUGGCCACAUGAGGUUCAGCGAAUGUCCUUCAAGAUUUUGAAACCACAGAUGGAAGGAACAAGGUGCACGUGGCUGGUUGCAGAGGUACGGAAGGAUUCUGAAGAAAAUGAGCAAAUACGAAUUACAAAGAGGACAGGGAAGUGUUUAUCAUGGUUAGUACCCACUUCACUCUGUUGCCACUUUUUAAAAGAAGGAACGUGUGGUUGCCAGUCUGAUUGUUGCACUGACAUUCAGUUGUCUGUUGGGUAAGUAGAUAUUCAGUGAGAAUUUCAAACAGAACAAAAUAUAAUGUGCCAUGUAACUUUGAAAUGCUCCUCCAUUUCUCUACAAUUGAGUACACAUAUUUUACCUGACACAGAGGAUGAUGAUACUCUGCAGUGAAGGCAUGCAUUCCGUAUAUUAAAGUCUAACAGAUCUGUUGAAUGCCAUUUCAUGCACUUCUGAAAUUUUCCGCAUAAUACGUAGUAGAAUGUAUGAACAGUAGUUUAUUAUGACUGUUGGCUCCCAUGUGCCACUUUAAAAAUGAAGAAGGAUGUUGAAUGUAGUCCUCAGCUGGCAGAUGGUACCAUCGGUUUCAAAGCUGGAGAUGCGUUAGUCUGCUAUGACAUAAAGGAAGAUGAAUAUCAACGGAUUAACUAGAAUCCAGGAUUUUGAUAGGUUGCAUGUGCUGUAAUGAAAUUCCCAUUUUAUUGUGUCAGAAACGCACACCAGAGAUUCCAAAAUUUGACCUCCUUCAGAACAGUUUUCAGGAACAUACAUACCUAGUAAUUUUGAAGACAGUACUCAAAUUCAUGUUUGCCGUAGAAAUGUCUGUAAAUAACUGCGUACUCUUAUAGACAUUUAUAACCGGAGAUUUUGCUUGACAAGAGAUUUGUAUUAGCCUCAUGUAGUUGUAAAUUAGGGAACUGAUGUGGAUGUUCCUCAUUGAGCGUACAAAAUAUUUUUAGAAGCUAAAUUUAUUCUUGGUAUGCAGGAAAAGGUAAAUGUGAGGAUGGAAUGGAUUUUGCUAUUCACAAUAAUAGCUAGAAGCUGCACUCACAAAGUCACUACAUUGGCUUCAAUUGUUGUAGGAAAUAAAUGGUGAAAGUGAAGUUGCUGGUGCUUAUAGUAAGCAACGUUGCAUGUAGACAUAUUGGAGGGGUUUGGAGGUAAAGCUCCAUGCAUUCUUAACCUUGGCAAUAGAAGGAGGCGAGUGGUCUGGGGAAGCUGCCAGUUUACUGAAUUAGUUAGGAUGUUCCCUGGCCUUUGUAGAACCCAAAGAAUUCAUUACCAUGUUUGCAAGAGCAUAUCAACAGUCUGUAUUCUAAGGCAGAUGAAACUAAUUCACACUCACAAAAUAUUAUUUGGUGCAGUUUUGUAGAGCUUCCUGCUUCAUUCUUUUCCAUUGUAAUACAUUUUCCUGAUUCAGUGUUAAUACUGUUAGUUUCAAGGUUUUAAUGAAGAAAAGAAUGUAAAUAAUACACGGGCAGCUUUUGUAUAUGCUGUUCAGGAAAGAUAGCCUUAAAGUUAUGUAUGUAAAAUUUCUCACUUAUGUAGUAGCAGAAAAAUUCAUGUUUCUGUACUUCAGAAACAAGCUGAUGGAUGACUGAUUUGGUUAUCAAUAAUUUUGUAGAGACGUUUUCUGUACUUCUCUUCUGCAGAAUUUCCUGUGUCAGGUUUUGCCUUCUUGAUUUCCCUGGUUUUUGUAAGAGAAUUAAGAACAGUGUGUCAUGUUCAUUUUGCAUGUGACUUUGAAUUUCUCUUAUUUUGUGAAUAAAAUCUAUAUCCAGACCUCCUGUCUGUAAUAUAUGAACCAAAAUGUAAGAAUUUGUGAACACAGAAAUGAAGGAUUUGAGCA